Molecule: small nuclear RNA, 149 nt
Filed under: Betta splendens (Siamese fighting fish)
Lineage: Eukaryota; Metazoa; Chordata; Actinopteri; Anabantiformes; Osphronemidae
Description: U1 spliceosomal RNA (ENSBSLG00000023090.1)
Rfam family: U1 spliceosomal RNA
About the family: U1 is a small nuclear RNA (snRNA) component of the spliceosome (involved in pre-mRNA splicing). Its 5' end forms complementary base pairs with the 5' splice junction, thus defining the 5' donor site of an intron.
Source: Rfam by way of RNAcentral
AAACUUACCUGGCAGGGGAGAUACCAUGAUUAAGAAGGUGUUUUUUUUUUUUUGCACUCUGGCUGUCUGACCCCUGCGAAUUCCCCAAAUGCGGGAAUCUUGACUGCAUAAUUUGUGCUAGUGCGGGACUGUGUUCGCACUCUCCCCUA